RNAcentral lists this ribosomal RNA (486 nucleotides) under uncultured bacterium. RNAcentral's name for it is "partial 16S ribosomal RNA". It matches the Rfam family "Bacterial small subunit ribosomal RNA", at positions 30 to 507 of the family's 1533-position model. The record is from RNAcentral.
AUUGAACGCUGGCGGCAUGCCUUACACAUGCAAGUCGAACGGCAGCACGGGUGCUUGCACCUGGUUGCGAGUGGCGAACGGGUGAGUAAUACAUCGGAACAUGUCCUGUAGUGGGGGAUAGCCCGGCGAAAGCCGGAUUAAUACCGCAUACGAUCUACGGAUGAAAGCGGGGUACCUUCGGGCCUCGCGCUAUAGGGUUGGCCGAUGGCUGAUUAGCUAGUUGGUGGGGUAAAGGCCUACCAAGGCGACGAUCAGUAGCUGGUCUGAGAGGACGACCAGCCACACUGGAACUGAGACACGGCCCAGACUCCUACGGGAGGCAGCAGUGGGGAAUUUUGGACAAUGGGCGAAAGCCUGAUCCAGCAAUGCCGCGUGUGUGAAGAAGGCCUUCGGGUUGUAAAGCACUUUUGUCCGGAAAGAAAUCCUUGGCCCUAAUACGGUCGGGGGAUGACGGUACCGGAAGAAUAAGCACCGGCUAACUACGUG